GGAUAUAAUUAAAAAAAAAUAGUAUAGUUGGAGAUGCAGCAGUUGGUUGGAUAUAAAAAAAGAUGAUGUGUUAGAACUAAAACCGAGAAGAUCUAGUUCGUCGGAUGCGAAAAUACCAAAAGAGAUCUGAGAAAGAGAGAAGAAAAAUAAAGCACACAAUAUUUACGUGGUUCGGCCAACGGCCUACAUCCACGGACGAAGACGGAGCGAAAAUCUUCAUUAGAAUCAAAGUGGUGUACAAAAUAUGCCUCUCUCACAAAACCCUAAUCCCAAAAAAUACACUCAUAUUCCCUCUCUUAUCUUCCGCACUAAAUCAAUAGCAAAAAGGGUAUAUUUAUAAUAGUGACUAAAUCCUAAUACGAUUAGAAAUACAAACCCACUAAGAUUAGGAAUAUCUCGAUAAAUUAGGCAUAAUCUAAACUUAACUUAAUGGGAUAAUUAAAACAGAAUAGGGUUAGAAGACCUUGCGGUACUAGAAUUCGAGACAUAUUUAACAAUCUCCACCUUGACUUGAAUUCUAUGUCUUCUCCAUCAAAAUCCCAAGAGCUCCUGAAGUGCUACUGCACAUGCGAACAAGUUUACGGAAUACUUGACCUUGAUCGCCUAAAAACUUAAUGAGCAAAUCCGCGGGAUUCUCUGAAGUGCCAAUCUUCUCAUCUCCAACUACGCCUUUUGCAACCUCUGUUGCAUCAGAACGACAACUUGUCGUAGAGCGAAACUGCUGGAGCGAUCAAACUUCUCGAUCUCAAAUUCGUCGACGUCUUAAACACCCAAACAAACACUCAGGCUCUAACACCAGUUUGUUAGGACAAAACUGAAAAGAUCUAGUUCGUCGGGUGCGAAAAUACCAAAAGAGAUCUGAGAAAAAGAGAAUAAAAAUAAAGCACACGAUAUUUACGUGCAUGGUUUGGCCGCCGACCUACGUCCAGGGGGGAAGACGGAGCGGAGAUCUUCAUUAUAAUCAAAGUGGUGUACAAAAUAUGCCUCUCUCACAAAACCCUAAUCCCAAAAAAUUCACCCAUAUUCCCUCUCUCAUCUUCCGCACUAAAUCAAUAGCAGAAAUAGUAUAUUUAUAAUAGUGGCUAAAUCUUAAUACGAUUAGGAAUACAAACCCACUAAGAUUAGGAAUAUCUCGAUAAAUUAGGCAUAAUCUAAACUUAACUUAAUGGGAUAAUUAAAACAGAAUAGGGUUAGAAGACAUUGCGGUACUAGAAUUCGAGACAUAUUUAACAAUCUCCACCUUGACUUGAAUUCUAUGUCUUCUCCAUCAAAAUCCCAAGAGCUCCUGAAGUGCUACUGCACAUGCGAACAAGUUUACGGAAUACUUGACCUUGAUCGCCUAAAAACUUAAUGAGCAAAUCCGCGGGAUUCUCUAAAGUGCCAAUCUUCUCAUCUCCAACUACGCCUUUUGCAACCUCUGUUGCAUCAGAACGACAACUUGUCGUAGAGCGAAACUGCUGGAGCGAUCAAACUUCUCGAUCUCAAAUUCGUCGACGUCUUAAACACCCAAACGAACACUCCGGCUCUGAUACCAGUUUGUUAGAACUAAAACCGAGAAGAUCUAGUUCGUCGGAUGCGAAAAUACCAAAAGAGAUCCGAGAAAGAGAGAAGAAAAAUAAAGCACACAAUAUUUACGUGGUUCGGCCAACGGCCUACGUCCACGGGCGAAGACGGAGCGGAGAUCUUCAUUAUAAUCAAAGUGGUGUACAAAAUAUGCCUCUCUCACAAAACCCUAAUCCCAAAAAAUACACCCAUAUUCCCUCUCUCAUCUUCCGCACUAAAUCAAUAGCAGAAAUGGUAUAUUUAUAAUAGUGGCUAAAUCUUAAUACGAUUAGGAAUACAAACCCACUAAGAUUAGGAAUAUCUCGAUAAAUUAGGCAUAAUCUAAACUUAACUUAAUGGGAUAAUUAAAACAGAAUAGGGUUAGAAGACCUUGCGGUACUAGAAUUCGAGACAUAUUUAACAAUCUCCACCUUGACUUGAAUUCUAUGUCUUCUCCAUCAAAAUCCCAAGAGCUCCUGAAGUGCUACUGCACAUGCGAACAAGUUUACGGAAUACUUGACCUUGAUCGCCUAAAAACUUAAUGAGCAAAUCCGCGGGAUUCUCUGAAGUGCCAAUCUUCUCAUCUCCAACUACGCCUUUUGCAACCUCUGUUGCAUCAGAACGACAACUUGUCGUAGAGCGAAACUGCUGGAGCGAUCAAACUUCUCGAUCUCAAAUUCGUCGACGUCUUAAACACCCAAACGAACAUUCCAGCACUGAUACCAUUUUGUUAGAACUAAAACCGAGAAGAUUUAAUUUGUCGGAUGCGAAAAUACCAAAAGAAAUCCGAAAAAGAGAGAAGAAAAAUAAAGCACACAAUAUUUACGUGGUUCGGCCAACGGCCUACGUCCACGGGCGAAGACGGAGCGGAAAUCUUGAUUAGAAUCAAAGUGGUGUACAAAAUAUGCCUCUCUCACAAAACCCUAAUCCCAAAAAAUACACACAUAUUUCCUCUCUCAUCUUCCGCACUAAAUCAAUAGCAGAAAUGGUAUAUUUAUAAUAGUGGCUAAAUCUUAAUACGAUUAGGAAUACAAACCCACUAAGAUUAGGAAUAUCUCGAUAAAUUAGGCAUAAUUUAAACUUAACUUAAUGGGAUAAUUGAAACAGAAUAGGGUUAGAAGAUCUUGCUGUACUAGAAUUCGAGACAUAUUUAACAUGAUGCAACUAUAAAUAAUUUGUUUGAUUGCAUAUAAUUGAAAAGUACAUUCACACAUUUUAUUACUAUAUACAUAUUUUAUAUUAUAAAAUAUGAUUAAGGAGAUAAAAGCUUAUCUUUAAUUUAUAAUAACUACUUUCUCCAACUGCUGCAACUGUUACAACAAUUAUAUUUAAAACAUCAAGUCAAUCGCUAAAUUUAAAUCUGUAUGCAAUUACAAAUACAAUAUAGUUGCAGCUACAAGCUAUCUA
Molecule: long non-coding RNA, 2949 nt
Filed under: Ananas comosus (pineapple)
Lineage: Eukaryota; Viridiplantae; Streptophyta; Magnoliopsida; Poales; Bromeliaceae
Description: long non-coding RNA (ACOM_LNC011496)
Source: RNAcentral